GAGGGUGUAGCUCAAGUGGCAGAGCACAUGCUUAGCAUGCACGAGGUUCUGGGUUCAAUCCCUGGCAUCUCCU
This 73-nucleotide transfer RNA is filed under the name Camelus bactrianus (Bactrian camel). It matches the Rfam family "tRNA". From Rfam's summary of the family: Transfer RNA (tRNA) molecules are approximately 80 nucleotides in length. Lineage: Eukaryota; Metazoa; Chordata; Mammalia; Artiodactyla; Camelidae. The record is from Rfam by way of RNAcentral. RNAcentral also lists the same sequence under 2 other names.